CAGAACUAAUUAUUUACACAAACCGUUUUAAGAUAGCGUAAAGUGUGUGAUAUUUUGAAUAGCUAUAUACUGAAUCUGAAUGAAUGUAAAACUGAAUUUUUGUUUCAGUACAUUAUUUCGUUCUAUAUACUAUUUCGUUGUACUUGGGAGCAGCCUCUCCAUAAAUGAGGGUAAGGCUAGUCGACAUUCACCUCUCUCAGACCCUGCAUAAAGCGGGAGCCUUGUGCACUGGGUACGACGAUACUAUUUCGUUGUAAUUGAAGGCUUGACAAAGUAUAAUGUAGGGUCGAUUUUAAGACAGUUCUGCUUGCAUUACUGUCAACCUGAAAAUUCAGAAGAAAUGCUUGCAUGGUUUUACCAACUCUAGUAUAUUUAUUGUCGCCCGCCUAUAUUGUAACGCAUGGGUUAGUAACAGCACGUGAUCAGUGUAAAUCACAAUCUCUAUAGCCC
Molecule: long non-coding RNA, 450 nt
Filed under: Malus domestica (apple)
Lineage: Eukaryota; Viridiplantae; Streptophyta; Magnoliopsida; Rosales; Rosaceae
Description: long non-coding RNA (MDOM_LNC006577)
Source: RNAcentral